RNAcentral lists this ribosomal RNA (377 nucleotides) under uncultured organism. RNAcentral's name for it is "partial 16S ribosomal RNA". It matches the Rfam family "Bacterial small subunit ribosomal RNA", at positions 527 to 897 of the family's 1533-position model. The record is from RNAcentral.
GUAGGUGGCAAGCGUUGUCCGGAAUUAUUGGGGCGUAAAGCGCGCGCAGGCGGUUCGUUUAAGUCUGAUGUGAAAGCCCACGGGCUCAACCGUGGAGGGUCAUUGGAAACUGGAGAACUUGAGUACAGAAGAGGAAAGCGGAAUUCCACGUGUAGCGGUGAAAUGCGUAGAGAUGUGGAGGAACACCAGUGGCGAAGGCGGCGUUUCUGGUCUGUAACUGACGCUGAGGCGCGAAAGCGUGGGGAGCAAACAGGAUUAGAUACCCUGGUAGUCCACGCCGUAAACGAUGAGUGCUAAGUGUUAGGGGGUUUCCGCCCCUUAGUGCUGCAGCUAACGCAUUAAGCACUCCGCCUGGGGAGUACGGCCGCAAAGGCUGA